This is a long non-coding RNA of Bombus pyrosoma, 1885 nucleotides long. RefSeq lists it as uncharacterized. The record is from RefSeq and is a predicted model, not a curated record. Lineage: Eukaryota; Metazoa; Arthropoda; Insecta; Hymenoptera; Apidae. The transcript is spliced from 3 exons.
CGCUCUCUAUUCUGGCUCCAACGGUAUAUGGGUUAGGGCCAGUUCUAGCAAUACCGUUUCUCACCCACGCACCCGCGCCCGCGCCCGCUUCUUUUCCCUUGCUCAAAGAGGAACGCGUACUCUCGUAUAGAAGCGAACGUAUUCGCGCUCCGUCUAGAGCGACGCGAGUGCUCGUGUGUUUUUAAGAGCUCGUGAAACGAUCGCCAAUGCAAUUAUUCUCUGGAGUGUCGAAUUGACACCAUGGGACAACGUUUACGAUUUGUUUAAGCGAAUCGCGAAAGGUGUACAGAGAUUUUCAUCGCACUUGAUACUUGACGAAUUAUAGAAACACUCCGCAACGCCACUAUUACCUGUUCUUUCAGUAAAACAGAAAGGUAUUCUGCUCGUGUUGCAAAUAGCGAAGCCAAGGUCUCCGAUGUAAGUUAAAAGUGAAGCAUAAAUCCACUUCUUAAAUGGAACAUAGGGAUCCUCGAACGAUCCUCCUCUAAACGAAGCUAGGUAAAUUGGAGGCGACACGAUUCGAGAGAAAGGAGUCGGUGGAAACGCAUUAAAAUCUGAUUCCGCCAGUAGGGGAGGACCCUUUGAACAGGGAGAGAAGGUUCCUAUUAUCUUCCCCUCCGUCCGUUGCUCCCUCGGAUGGAUCGAAAAAGUAUCUGGCCCAGAGUUAAAAGGGGAGUCUCGUAGAUCGGCAUCGCGGUUCACUGCUGCGAGCACGAUGUGGGUGUGACCUGGUUUCCGAGAGUUUCACUUUCCUGUAACAUCGUUGCACGGAGGAGGGGGAACGUCGCGAGCUGCGCGAUUCGUCAGAAGCGUUCACCGUGCUUGAUCGUUGAGUCACAAAAACGGAAAGCCGGAUACAAACGUUAGAGCGUUCCAACCGUUUGAUCCUUCGCCGAGCCCUUGGUAUUUCUCUAUGACUCCUCGUUCACGCAAAAACUGCUAAGUCCGCGCGAAUCAAGUUUUCCAUAACGUUCUCGAUUUGAAUCUCGAUUCGAAUACGAAACACGAAACGCUCAGCUGCUUUGGAAUGGAGCAUAGAGUUGAUCGAUUUACGCGGAUUCCACGGCGAACAAUGGCAACAUUAACGAAUUCAUAACGCGUGCGAUGCGUAAUGCACGCGCUCGCGUGUCGACGUUCAUGUACGCGCCUGCGCCUAUCUUCGCCACGAUCCACGAGCGUGUGGCGGCAUAUAUAAAAGAGCGUUCUAGCGUGCGACCUAUAUUCCACGCCUGCAUUGCUAUAUUAGACGCGUGCGACGCAUCAGGGACACGCCUGAAAGCGUCUUCCUCUCCUGACCUGAUGCCAAUCAAACACCAGUUCACUGAAUAAUUCGGCGGUUUCUACUGUCAGCUCGUGGCACGCCUCACGCUCAUCCUUUGUUGGAGACAACGGAACAGGUCUUUCGGUUGCAGCGCCGCGUACGCGAUGACAUGACUUAGAUUUUUUAAUCAAGAGAAUUAAAAGAGCAGCAGAAGGUAAGAAAGUACAAUGACAUUUAAUAUUUCCCGCUUUCUCAUAUUUAUUAACGUGUAUCGCUGAAGAAACGUAAUAAAAAGCUGUAAUGGGUAUUUCAUAUUGAGUGAUAAAAGCCGUCGAAAAAAGUAUAAUAAAAAGCAGUAAGAUACCUCGAUAAGCUCGAGAUACCGAUGCACCAGCGCGACUCUGAAUAGCAGCCAGACUCGUCUAAUGAUUCGUCUGUCGGUGGAACGCAUACAUAAAAAUGUGUGUGUGCGUGUACGUUUACGCACCCACGCGGCCACGAGGAAGUCAAGAAUUUAUUUUUAUCGUGGUUCUUCCGUACGACCGAACGUUACGGUUUCUCGAUCGAUGGACCCGCACCGCAGAGACGACACCGUCUCCUCGGAGUGUAAAUUACAAUUUGACG